CAAGUAGGGAAUCUUCGGCAAUGGGGGCAACCCUGACCGAGCAACGCCGCGUGAGUGAAGAAGGUUUUCGGAUCGUAAAGCUCUGUUGUAAGAGAAGAACGUGUGUGAGAGUGGAAAGUUCACACAGUGACGGUAACUUACCAGAAAGGGACGGCUAACUACGUGCAG
This 168-nucleotide ribosomal RNA is filed under the name uncultured bacterium. RNAcentral's name for it is "partial 16S rRNA". It matches the Rfam family "Bacterial small subunit ribosomal RNA", at positions 351 to 510 of the family's 1533-position model. The record is from RNAcentral.